GAGACAGACAACGUGGGUUUGACUCCAUUCGUUGCCACCUAACAUUGUGUGACCCUGGACUGGGUACACUCAGAUUCCUCAGUAUAAAAUGGUGUAAUGAGAAAGUCCUGUAGCAAGGCUGGAUUGAAUAGUUACCAUACCACCUGUUGGGAUGAGUUAUAAACUCUUUGUUCUGAAUGGCAAAGAACCUGGCAUUAUAAGAGAGUUGCUAAACGAGGACGUCAUGUGGGGUUCUUGGCCUUCAUCUUGUCCUUCAUAAAGAGAAGCAUAUCUGCAGCUGAGAGAAUGAAGCUCACAUGAAGAAGAAAGCAAGAAAACAGCAAAGAGAGGGACAAGAUGGAGGAGGGGCCAGAGCCCAGGAACAGAAGAUGAACAUGAGCAUGACUCUGAUCCACUGUCUGGAAAUGAG
This is a long non-coding RNA of Callorhinus ursinus (northern fur seal), 409 nucleotides long. RefSeq lists it as uncharacterized. The record is from RefSeq and is a predicted model, not a curated record. Lineage: Eukaryota; Metazoa; Chordata; Mammalia; Carnivora; Otariidae.